UGGGGAAUUUCGGACAAUGGGCGCAAGCCUGAUCCAGCAAUGCCGCGUGCAGGAUGAAGGCCUUCGGGUUGUAAACUGCUUUUGUACGGAGCGAAAAGGUCUGCCCUAAUACGGUGGGCUCAUGACGGUACCGUAAGAAUAAGCACCGGCUAACUACGUGCCAGCAGCCGCGGUAAUACGUAGGGUGCGAGCGUUAAUCGGAAUUACUGGGCGUAAAGCGUGCGCAGGCGGUUAUAUAAGACAGAUGUGAAAUCCCCGGGCUCAACCUGGGAACUGCAUUUGUGACUGUAUAGCUAGAGUACGGUAGAGGGGGAUGGAAUUCCGCGUGUAGCAGUGAAAUGCGUAGAUAUGCGGAGGAACACCGGUGGCGAAGGCAAUCCCCUGGACCUGUACUGACGCGCAUGCACGAAAGCGUGGGGAGCAAACA
RNAcentral lists this ribosomal RNA (427 nucleotides) under uncultured bacterium. RNAcentral's name for it is "bacterial SSU rRNA". It matches the Rfam family "Bacterial small subunit ribosomal RNA", at positions 355 to 774 of the family's 1533-position model. The record is from RNAcentral.